Long non-coding RNA from Numida meleagris (helmeted guineafowl), 463 nucleotides. RefSeq lists it as uncharacterized. The transcript has 2 exons. Lineage: Eukaryota; Metazoa; Chordata; Aves; Galliformes; Numididae. The record is from RefSeq and is a predicted model, not a curated record.
AGAAGAUGCAUAUGCUGAUGGGGUUCCAGAUGGCCACCAUGCCCAUAUUAACAAGAAUUCCUCUUCACCUGCUCAGGCCACAAGCUGAUAUACACAAUAUAUGAGGCUAAGGAGCAAGCAAAGGGGAGGAAACAACUGGAAAUGGAUUUCUUUCCUCUUUUAACCAGAAACACUCUCAUCUGUCUACAGCUUCCCACUGAAGAAAUGGUACAUGAUAAGGAAAAUAUAACAUCACAGAUUAAUUACAGCAAAAGUACGGCUCUGUGCAGCUCUGUGCGUUAGGAGUCUCUGUUCAGAAAUGCCUCGAUCUGUGCUCCAAUCAAUUCUAGGCAACAAGUGAAAAGCUGUGGCCGUAAAAAUGUUGGUCAAAUCUGCAUGGUCCAAGUUGCUACAACGUAGUACUUGAUCUUGAGAAUGGCUAAGAAUCUCAUUAAAAAGCUGAUAACCCCAGCUUCCGUACAAA